RNAcentral lists this ribosomal RNA (497 nucleotides) under uncultured bacterium. RNAcentral's name for it is "partial 16S ribosomal RNA". It matches the Rfam family "Bacterial small subunit ribosomal RNA", at positions 28 to 507 of the family's 1533-position model. The record is from RNAcentral.
GAUGAACGCUGGCGGCGUGCCUAAUACAUGCAAGUCGAGCGAACGGACGAGAAGCUUGCUUCUCUGAUGUUAGCGGCGGACGGGUGGGUAACACGUGGAUAACCUACCUAUAAGACUGGGAUAACUUCGGGAAACCGGAGCUAAUACCGGAUAAUAUUUUGAACCGCAUGGUUCAAAAGUGAAAGACGGUCUUGCUGUCACUUAUAGAUGGAUCCGCGCUGCAUUAGCUAGUUGGUAAGGUAACGGCUUACCAAGGCAACGAUGCAUAGCCGACCUGAGAGGGUGAUCGGCCACACGGGAACUGAGACACGGUCCAGACUCCUACGGGAGGCAGCAGUAGGGAAUCUUCCGCAAUGGGCGAAAGCCUGACGGAGCAACGCCGCGUGAGUGAUGAAGGUCUUCGGAUCGUAAAACUCUGUUAUUAGGGAAGAACAUAUGUGUAAGUAACUGUGCACAUCUUGACGGUACCUAAUCAGAAAGCCACGGCUAACUACGUG